AGGCCUCAGGCUGAGAGAGAAACAAGAAGGUGAAAGUUCCUAAUGUCAUCAAACAAAAUUACAACAAGUUUAGUUUAAAGAUCUUAAUUGGCUUUUAUUUGUGAUUCUAGAAUCAGGCAAUUCAGAAUCUGCCUCAUUCUAUAAAGUAGAAUGUUGUGAUGAGCUGGGAAGAGGAGGUUGGUUUUACAAACAGAAAGGAGCUGAGGAAAGCAGAAACAGAGAACCGGUGGAUUAGUCGUUUCAAAGUUACCUUCAUUAUAAAGAUCAAGGCAGAGGGGAUUUCCUCAUCAUGCUCAUUGAGACUGGCCUGUUUGGGGAUUUGGCUGUUAUCUCUCUCUCUCUCUCUCCUAUUUAUUGGAAGUUCAGGUCACAUAUCCAUCUCUGAGUCUGUCACUGGGAGAAUGGGAUGCUUUUUUGGACCAGGCCUGACUUACAUACCCAUCUGGGACAAUAGGACUUUCUAUGGGGACAACUUCAUCUGUACAUGGACAGAGACUGAAGAAUGGAGGCUGGAGUGCAGUGGUGCAAUCAUGGCUCACUACAACCCCGACCUCCUGGGCUCAAGCCAUCCUCCUGCCUCAGCCUCUCAAGUAGCUGGGACUACAGAAACCCUGGACCAACUCCUUGAUUGCACCUGUGAGAGGCCCUGAAGCGGAGGGCCCAGCUAAGGUGUGUCUGGAUUUCUGACCCACAGAAACUGAGAUCAUAAAUGUGUGGUUUUAAGCCCUACUCCAGCACUUUCACAGUCAUUUACGGCAUCUGCAGAGCAGUGAAAAAUUUGAAUUGCCUGAGAUACAUGCUCCCUGCUGAAGUCGCACAAGCUGGCCAAUCCUGCUAAUCCUUUAAAACUCACCUGGAGGGAAGGCCUCCUUCUGCAAAGCCUCUCUUGAUGCAGAUUAUCAGCUUUCACUCUCUACCAGAUGGCAAGGAUAUUGCUGUUGGCUCAUAGGAUGUGAACAGUGGUGUUGAGAUUACCCUCAUUUGGCUGAUGAUGUCAUUGAGGCCCAGAGAAGGUAGGACACCUGGCAGGGCCUGGCUUUGGGGCUAACUUCUGCAGCUCUUUUGAUUGCCCCCACCUUACAGUUUUUGGCACAGAGCACUGUGUAGCUGGCACUUCUCUACUGGCCCGAAUGAGAAAACUUCCUCAGAGCAAAAUGUCAAGCACCAAAUAAGAUUCAUGUUUACUGUGAAGUGAUUGCUGCUUUUUAAAUGCUUAUCAGAAGCCGAAGGACAAACUCAGUAGGUUGAUUCAUGCUGAGCUCGACUACCUCCGUGAGAAAUGACUCUCCUGUAGGGCUCGAUGACCUUCAUGUCAAUGCGCUGCUCUUGUUCUCCAAUGACCACUGUCCUCCAAAGCCGGUUGUCCUCCCGUUCCUCUUCGGCCGUAUAUUCUGGAAUAGACUCUGACUCUUGGCCAGAAUCUUUGUUGGCUGUGGGAUCUUCUGGAAACAAAGCACAGAGCAAGGCUGAAGGAGCAAGACCUCCACAGUGCAGCUAAACAGCCAAAUGAGUCUCCCGCAAGUCAGGAAAACUGGAUAAAAAGAGGCCUAAAUGUGAGCAAGAGCUAUCAUGUUUGGCUUCAAGUAUGUCCUGACAACUCUGUAUAUGAUCUUCAGUGCCCUUUACCUGGCCGAAGUAUCCUCCCAGGUAACAUUCUUUGAACUCACCCAAGCAGUCACCAGCUCUUAUGCCAAUCUCGCUUGACAUUGGUUCCCAUAACAUAAGUGACAAUCUUAUGUGUAGGCUCCCUCCUCUCAUUGUAGUAUGCAUCUUCCCGCUCAGCUGCCUUUCAUUUAAUAGAAGCAGAGCUGGAGAAGUCAUUUUUUAACCAAGCUUAAACUAACAAAACAAAGGUAGAGACAUACCCUACUGUAGUAUAAUAAGAAAUGUAUUUGGUCUUUGGCCCUGGUUCCAGGCACAGAGGUCUUAAAACCCUUGUCAUUUCCUAAGGUGGAUAGUGUCAGAAUUGAAUUAUAGGACACCCAGUUGGUGUUCAUUAGAAAAUUGCUUGGUGUGUGGCAAACAAAACAAAACAAAACCCUACACAUCUGGUCACAGAAGUGUUCAGUGUGAGAGCAGAGUAGGAGAAAACAGUUUGUUGCCUUCACCUAAAACCAGAAAUGACAGGAUUCCUAAGCACGAAAUAUUUUGAAGACCAUUUGGCAUACCCUUCAACUCUGGAAUUCUGGCUCUGGCCUUGUCCUGGAGAAAUUGGCACUGUUCCCCUGUCAGUCAUUAAGCUUUUUCUUUUCUGAAUGGAACAUCACCCAAACUCUGUUCUAGGUAAUGGUUUUAUGUAUUACUUGAAAAAGGUUUCUAUUGACAAGUAAGUUUCAACACUGAGUUUCUAUAUUUCAGGAAUUUGCAGAGCAGUGAUGUCCCAAAGAAUUCUUUGUGAUGAUGAAAAGGUUCUAUAUUUGGCUAUUGAGCACUUGAAAUGAGGCUAGUGCAACUGAAGAAGAGCAUUUUAAAAAAUUGUUUUUAAUUUUAAUUAAUUUAAAUAGCCACAUGUGACUAGCUGCUUACCAUAUCAGAUAACCAUAGCCUUAGUGCCUUUAUCAUUCAAAAGUACAUUGUGAACUUGGAAGAUUCAAAUAAACAUACUGUGGUUACCAAGCAUAUUUGGCCAUAGAACAUUUAGAAAUAAUUCUGUUACAUGACUAGUAUUUUGAAGAAUGCAUUUCAAAUACUACGACAGAAAAGAAAUGUAAUUGCCUUCCUUCUUCCUACCACACUGUAGGCUUGGCUGAGAAUACAUGAUUCAGGAUCUUGGUAUGAUCCUGGAGUUGGUGUAAUGCAAGAGAGUGACCCUGGAAUACAGUGAGAGUCAUAUAAGUUGCAAUUGAAAAAUUAAAUUCCUUUUUGUGUAUGCCUUGGGUUGUAAACCCCUAAAAUGUAGGGUAGUUGUUUUUUAUUGUUGUUGUCUUGGUUUUGGUUUUGAUAGUUAGGAUACUGAGCAUUCUUGAUAUCACAUUUCCAAUUUUAAACAUUCUUACAAUUAUGUGUAAAUGCGGAGAACUUAGACAUUAGUCAGAAUUUGGUACAAUAUACAGUAGCCAAUUAUCACAGGAACUGAAAACAUUGGCAGAUAAGGCUGUGGUCUAGGAGAUAAAAUGCAGCCCACACUAGCGAGCAUCAGUAUUCAAGCCAACUCUUAAAUUAACCAAAUGCAGCCUAACACCUUCAUAUCACACAUUUCUUUUUUCCUCUCACUGUUAUCACUGAAAUCAUAAGUUAGAUGCACAGGAAAUAAUUCUUUCACUGAAUAAUGAAAACGUUGGGAUACAGAAUACCAACGAAGGAAAUGAACAAAUGCUGCUCUCACCAGGCCUCAUGUCUGCAGCACUGGGACUCAGCACGCCCUCUUCAAAGGGGAUGUCCAUUCCUACAUCCUCUGACAGUAGUCUGCAAAAAAAGCAAAGCAAAGCGCGUCAACAACAACUGUGUAAGACUUCAUUUCUUUUGAAAAGGAAACCCACAGAGUCCAGGAUAACAUUUUCAACUCACUUAAAAUAAACCAUGUAUGGGGACUGAAUCCACUGUAAGUGGUCCCAAAUUAAAGACUUUCUGCAGUUAUGGUAAAUGAGAAAAAUGGACACCAAUUUCACUUGCUUACAUCAAGUCACUUCUGCUAGCUCACUUAAUAAACACACACCAAGUGGGAAACUCAGAAAUAGGAAAUGCAAACAACUAAUAAAAUAUACUUCGGGGACAUUUAAUAUAUAUAUAUUUUUAACAACAGGGUCAAUAUAUGUGCUUUGUACACAUCUCUUACUCUGUAAAUUUGAGUAUUUUAAUUAAAUUCCCAUGGACAGAGGGAGAGCAUAUUCUGUUGAUCUCAGUUUUCAUUUGUAAACUAGGGAUAUACACCUACUUCACCACGUUGUUUAAAGAUUAAGCUACAAAAGUAAAGUGCCUAACACUCCUGAGCAGGCAUAGACUGAUGUUAUUUUUCUUCCUUUUUUGAAUAUUUAAAGAGUCACUGUGAAUAUAUGUUGGUGAAGAUGGCUCUGGUCAUGACUUCCCACCUCUUGUUUCUAAUCAGUGCUGAGCCCACAACCAUCUGUAUUAGCACAUUUGGUAAGAAGUGUAGGGAAACAGGAAAUACCAAAGGCAAUUGUGACGAAUCUAUAUGUUCUUCUAAGAAGCUGACCACUGUUCACGAUAAAUUUCUCUUGAUUUAUUUUCAUCCCUGGACCUUUGUUCAGUAAGACCCCAUUUACCAUAAUAUAUAUUUCUUCUCUGUGAGUUUCACGUAAUUUCAUUCACCUAGGGUGAGUCCUUAUGAUGUGGGCACUAACCUAAUUUUAAACAUGAUAAACCUUUAUGUUAAAGUUCUUAAUUUAGUCCCCUUCUGCCUCUCUUACUGUACUUUGCACUAUGUAACGCUGGAUCUACCAAACCUUUGGAGUUUAAUCUGCUUCUCCAGGAUGCAAGUCAAAUCCCCUACUGUCAAUAAAGCACUAUGAUGAAAGAAAAUAAUCUGCACCCUUAGCGAUUACUGCAUUUGCUUCAUUUAUUCAACAAAUAUCUAUUAAGUGUCUACUAUGUGCCGAGGAUAUAGAGGAACAAAACAGACCCGUCUCAUUCUCGUGGUGGAGUUGGGAUGAUGGAGCUAAUACAAUGACCCCUACCUUCAAAAACUCAGUGCUGCUCCCCUGGAUAGAGUGAGGCUUAAACAUGAAAAUUUGAGGAACGCUGAGCAGGAAUAGAAGGAAAGCCUACAUUUUUAUCAUUUCAACCUCUUUGCUUUUCAGAGAAUAAUUAACUCCUUGGCUGUGAAUGAUGGAUGCAUGGAGAAUUCUACCUCUUGCCUGCAGGCUAUUUGCUAGCUUCUUUUAAUAUUUUUCCUAUAACCUUAAGAUCUAUGAAUAGAUUUGUUUGUUGUGGAGAAGAUUAAAUUAGAUGGCAUAAUCUCACAUUGGAGAGGGGCAUAUACUUAUUUAGGAAGUGAGUUUACAGUUCACAACCAGGAUGGCUCAAAGGGAUCUCAAACUGAACAUGUUCAAAACCUAAUCCCACAUCUUCCUCUACGCAGAUCCGCUACAUCCUACCUUCUCUGUGACGACUUUGAAAAGUGUCCAUGAAUUCUUUGACACUCUUUUCAAAAGGUGGAGCCUAAUUUCCCGUCCCUUAAGUGUGGACUGAUGAUUUGCUUCUAAAGAACAGAAUAAGGUGGAAUGGAUGGUAGGUGACUUCUAAGGCUAGGUCCUAAAAAGCACUGUGUGCUUUGUUCUCUCUUGGGUCUCUCAGUCUGGGAGAAACCAGCUACCCUGUUGUAAGGACAGUCAAGCAGCCCUGUGGAGAGUCCAUGUGGCAAGGAACUGAGGCUUCCUGUGAAAAUCCAGGAAGGAACUGAAGCCUUCUGCCAACAGCCAUGUGAACGAGCCAUCUUGGAGGCAGAUCCUGCAGCCUGGCUAAUGUCUUGAUGGCAACUUAACAAGAUACCUUAAGCCAGAACCAUCUAGCUAAUACACUCUUGAAUUCCUAUUACAAACACUGGGAAAUAAUCAAUGUUUGUUGUUUUAAGCUGCUAAACUUUGAUAUUAUUUAUUUUAUUCAUUUAUUUUUUG
Molecule: long non-coding RNA, 5573 nt
Organism: Homo sapiens (human)
Lineage: Eukaryota; Metazoa; Chordata; Mammalia; Primates; Hominidae
Exons: 12
Source: RefSeq, a predicted model, not a curated record